RNAcentral lists this long non-coding RNA (389 nucleotides) under Medicago truncatula (barrel medic). RNAcentral describes it as "lncRNA gene27134". Lineage: Eukaryota; Viridiplantae; Streptophyta; Magnoliopsida; Fabales; Fabaceae. The record is from RNAcentral.
UAGUUUAAUUUUUGUAUUUUUAAUUAAUAAUUUUCCCGUCUCUAUGGUUAGAUGGAUAAUUGACUAUAUUUACAUGCUUCGUUUUACGAAGAGCCUAUGUUGAUGUACGUUUUUAUCUUGGGGUAAAAAUUAUGCAUUUUCUUUCUUUGCGUUACGACCUUUUUAAUAAAAAUACUAUUUGGGCUUUUUUUUUUUACACGAGAAAAGGAAAAGAGGAUCAAGGUUAAUAGCUUUUAACUUUGCUAGCACAUAUGCGUAGGCAUUCUCUCGUGAUGCAGAGCUAUUGUCCAAUCUUUUUUCAUGAAAUCUCUAAUAAUCUCUAGCUCAUUAGCAUAAUGAUGAAACUGAGAUGUUCCCUUUGUGACAAGUUGAACCACAUGCAAGGAAUA